CAAACAAAAUGGUGAGAACUGAGGAGCAAAAAUAUAUACAAUUUAUUUCAUCAUGUGAGAAAAACUACAAAAGCUUAAAAGAGCAGCUUAGCACCAGAAGCAGAGUUGUGAACAAAACUAGCAAGCAUCACAUGGCUCUUUCAUGAACCACCCAAAAUGAAUAUUCAAUGACCCCAUGGAAGUGACUAGACAUAUUACCCAGUAAGGAAGAUUUAACUACUUGGGUGCAUUACCCCAAAUCAAUGAAUUUUUCUAAAACACUAGAAAAAACAUCUUAACAAGGAGAUGUCAAUAAAGUUGCGCUAUAUUUGAACUUCGAAGAUAAGCAAAAGAAUCCUUCACAAAAGAGAAAUCAUCCUCUAAAAGCAGUCCAGGUAGGAUGGGGUAAGAACAACCCCUUCUAGUAGACAUGAAAGGGUCUAUAUCUUUGAUGUUUCUUUCAAAAAUCAAUGAAAUUUUUCAAGUUCUCUUUACGAGCAUCUUCACAAGGAGAAAUCAUAAACAACUUAAAGCUUGUUGAUAGGCAAUCAUCAAUUAACUAAAGCUAUCUUCGUACUUCAAAUUAUCAGGGAAGGCAGUCUUCACAAAGGCGAAAUUUUUCUCUAGAAACCAGUCUUCAAAUAGGAGGGCAGAGAACAAGUGAAAAAAAUCCACAGAAGUGCCAACAUGCUGUACAAAAAACCACUCCUAAGUAAAGAACUUAAUCAGUACACACUACAAUCCAUUGUCAGCAGUAAAGAAAAGGUUCCCCCAUCAACUCAAAUGGCACAGAGUACUCAAUUCAGAUGCCAGAAAGAAUAUCCACUGCUAAAUCCUGCGUAUUUUACCCAAGUGCAAUGACAAAUCUCACAGAUCAAUUAAGAAUACUCAAAUGGUUGGAAAGAAAGAAAUCAGUUGCCAGCAGCAUAUCUACCACAAGUAUUGAGCAAAAAGGCACAUACGUGCAAGAAGACACAUUAAUCAUCAGUAACUAUUAAACACCCAGUAGUUGGUUACUCUGUAUAUGAAUUGUCUCCAGACAUUGUAAGUGG
Long non-coding RNA from Ipomoea nil (Japanese morning glory), 1031 nucleotides. RefSeq lists it as uncharacterized. The record is from RefSeq and is a predicted model, not a curated record. NCBI's taxonomy places the organism in Eukaryota, Viridiplantae, Streptophyta, Magnoliopsida, Solanales, Convolvulaceae. The transcript has 2 exons.